GCAGAAUACUAACGAAAAUUAAAAAGAUGGGUGAAACUGCUAACUGGCUCUUCACAGUCCUGUCUACUAAGGUGCAGCUUAAAAGGUUAAAUGUACCAGACUUCUAAGGACUACCUCCCUAGACCGGCUGCGACUUAAGAACGUCCUACGGCUAUGGAGUUGGCAGGUGUUGCAGUGGGGUUUCCGUCGUCCGUAUUCUGUCCAGGUCCGGGUAAUUCAGGUCAGUUUGCAAAAAUUUUAAAUAUCUUUUAAAUAAUUAUUUAUAUAUAUUUAUUUUUUUUUACAUAUAUAUACGUAUAAAAAUACUGAGCUACUGGGUGCAAAUCUGCCGCAAAUUCUUCUAAAAAACUAGGCCUGAGCUCAACCCUAACGUCGCGCACGCUUGGCGGUAAUUUUUGGCCAGCGGUCUGGUCCGAUUCUAACCAAUGGUACUGUCAGUCCGUCUUGUCGUUCAGGGUCAAAAAUCUUUAUGGUCGAAACCUUUGGUAUACCUGCGCACCCCAGGAUUGGCAGUGCGGAGCCGAUGUUCCCAAAUGAAAGAUCCCACGUUGGAAGUCGGCAGAGGUGGCGUUGAAAUAUUUGUAUAACCUUUUUUUUUUUGGUGUUCAAUUUAUAUAAUUUAUAUUAUAUUGUUUGAUUUAAAUAAAGACUUUAAAAAUG
Molecule: long non-coding RNA, 660 nt
Organism: Lucilia sericata (common green bottle fly)
Lineage: Eukaryota; Metazoa; Arthropoda; Insecta; Diptera; Calliphoridae
Exons: 3
Source: RefSeq, a predicted model, not a curated record